UACAGAGGCCUCGAGCGUUAGGCGGAAUCACUGGGCUUAAAGCGUGUGUAGGCGGACUUCUAAGUACCUUGUGAAAUCCCACGGCUCAACCGUGGAACUGCUUGGUAUACUGGUUGUCUUGAGCCAUCUAGGGGCGAGCGGAACAAGUGGUGGAGCGGUGAAAUGCGUAGAUAUCACUUGGAACGCCAACGGUGAAAACAGCUCGCUGGGGAUGUGCUGACGCUGAGACACGAAAGCCAGGGGAGCGAACGGG
RNAcentral lists this ribosomal RNA (253 nucleotides) under uncultured bacterium. Its description in RNAcentral is "partial 16S ribosomal RNA". It matches the Rfam family "Bacterial small subunit ribosomal RNA", at positions 524 to 776 of the family's 1533-position model. The record is from RNAcentral.